AGGAAGAAGCCCAGGACAGGACACUGAAACACUGCAAAGUUUAGAGUUCUAGUAGAAAAGGAAGAGCAAACAAAGGAGACGCCUUGGGAAAACUGGAGAAUAUGAUACCUCACAAAUGAAGUAAAAAAUUUUAGGAAGAGGUAGGUGAAUUGGGUUCAAUGUUUCUGAAAGAUCAAGUAAGAACAGAAAUGACCACUGGAUUUGGCAACAUGAAGAUCACUGGUGAUCUUGUAAACACAGUCUCAGUGGAAUCAUGAUGAUGGAAGUCUACUUGAAGAGAUUGAGGUAAGAAGGCAGAAAUAGGUCACUAGGUAGAGAGGGA
RNAcentral lists this long non-coding RNA (322 nucleotides) under Homo sapiens (human). RNAcentral's name for it is "HSALNT0335507". The record is from RNAcentral. Lineage: Eukaryota; Metazoa; Chordata; Mammalia; Primates; Hominidae.